UACGGAGGGGGCUAGCGUUGUUCGGAAUUACUGGGCGUAAAGCGCACGUAGGCGGCUUUGUAAGUUAGAGGUGAAAGCCCAGGGCUUAACCCUGGAAUUGCCUUUAAGACUGCAUCGCUAGAAUCGUGGAGAGGUGAGUGGAAUUCCGAGUGUAGAGGUGAAAUUCGUAGAUAUUCGGAAGAACACCAGUGGCGAAGGCGACUCACUGGACACGUAUUGACGCGUGAGGUGCGAAAAGCGUGGGGAGCAAACAGG
This 255-nucleotide ribosomal RNA is filed under the name uncultured bacterium. Its description in RNAcentral is "partial 16S ribosomal RNA". It matches the Rfam family "Bacterial small subunit ribosomal RNA", at positions 524 to 776 of the family's 1533-position model. The record is from RNAcentral.